Molecule: long non-coding RNA, 966 nt
Filed under: Callithrix jacchus (white-tufted-ear marmoset)
Lineage: Eukaryota; Metazoa; Chordata; Mammalia; Primates; Cebidae
Description: lncRNA (ENSCJAG00000080777.1)
Source: RNAcentral
CAGGUCAGAAAGGGAGACCAGAGGGCAGCUAUGGAAUCACAGUCUCCACUUCAGGCUUAACAGAACGCAUGACUGGGAGGCAUCAGGAAACUUACAAUCAUAGCAGAAGGCAAAGGGAAAACAAGCAUGUCUUACCAUGGUGGAGCAGGAGAGAGGGAGAGAGAAGGGGUUCACAGGCUGCUAAAACCUUAGAAGAAUGCACAGAGAUUCUUUUUGGGUUAUUUAUGGAGAAAGAAAAUGACCUAGAGAGCCUGUGCUCCAUGCAUGAUACUCACUGGAUUAAUAGGACUGCUUUCACAACUUUUAUAAAAAAUACCAAUUGUGGAUAUUACCUCUAAUAUCAAGGUGCAAAUCAAAGCCAUUUUGUCUCUCAGAUGCAAAACAAAAAUUAUAAUUCAUGCUUAAUUUAUCACCUGAGACAUUGAUUGGAUGUUGAGAACCACUGAAGAUCUUGUAAAUGUUAAAUGAAUUGUUCCUAUAAUAUCUUCCAGGCAGCUUUCUCUUCUGCAGAGUGGUUCUGGGAGCUGUGGAUGAAAGAGUGGAAUUAUUUUAGGCACACAUUUUAGCUGCUAUAAUGUGUUAAUAGGCUUGCUCGAUAGGUAGCCGCACCCUCUGCAGGCUGAUUCCAGUUCAACAGUCAUAUUGUCAUUCCUUGAGUCUUUGGGGAGACAAUGUGGAAAGGAUAUUGAGGAGGUUCUUUCUUGUAAGACUAAAAGUGUCAUCUGACUAAUGCAUCUAGACAGUGUUCUUCACAAUAUCAGAAGUCCAGUGUGCACAUUUAAUCUGAGAUCCUCCCUACAAUAUGGCACUGUGGAAUUGCAGUGAGCUGCUCAAGCCAUAUUUUCCCGAUCCCAUUCCUCAUUGACUAGAAGUGAAGCAAUAGAAAAGAAUGCUAUUAGUCAAGGAUAUGAGAAACACCUCCCAAACUAACUUUAUCUGAUAAGGGUAUUGAGUAAUAAAUGAAAG